AGCAGCCGCGGUAAUUCCAGCUCCAAUAGCGUAUAUUAAAGUUGUUGCAGUUAAAAAGCUCGUAGUUGAAUUUCGGGGUUCUACCGUUGGUCGGGCUAACCAGUCUGUACUAGCGUGUAGAAUUCCUACCUUCUGGGGAACCAUCAUGUUAUUAAUUUAGCGUGGUGGGAAACCAGGACCUUUACCUUGAAAAAAUUAGAGUGUUCAAAGCAGGCUUACGUCUGAAUACAUUAGCAUGGAAUAAUAAAAUAGGACGGUGGUCCUGUUUUGUUGGUUUCUGAAUCACCGUAAUGAUUAAUAGGGAUAGUUGGGGGCAUUAGUAUUCAAUUGUCAGAGGUGAAAUUCUUGGAUUUAUUGAAGACUAACUUCUGCGAAAGCAUUUGCCAAGGGUGUUUUCAUUAAUCAAGAACGAAAGUUAGGGGAUCGAAGACGAUCAGAUACCGUCGUAGUCUUAACCAUAAACUAUGCCGACUAGGGAUCGGACGAUGUUAAAUUUUAUUGACUCGUUCGGCGCCUUACG
Molecule: ribosomal RNA, 520 nt
Filed under: uncultured Scutellospora
Lineage: Eukaryota; Fungi; Glomeromycota; Glomeromycetes; Diversisporales; Gigasporaceae
Description: SSU rRNA
Rfam family: Eukaryotic small subunit ribosomal RNA
Source: RNAcentral